ACCUCCUUAGUAUAUUAGUAUACUUGGCUUCCAACCAAGUGGUCCUUAACAGGAAGAGGUA
RNAcentral lists this transfer RNA (61 nucleotides) under Aradus compar. RNAcentral's name for it is "tRNA-Gly". The record is from RNAcentral. Lineage: Eukaryota; Metazoa; Arthropoda; Insecta; Hemiptera; Aradidae.